RNAcentral lists this ribosomal RNA (460 nucleotides) under uncultured bacterium. Its description in RNAcentral is "partial 16S ribosomal RNA". It matches the Rfam family "Bacterial small subunit ribosomal RNA", at positions 338 to 795 of the family's 1533-position model. The record is from RNAcentral.
CCUACGGGGGGCAGCAGUGAGGAAUAUUGGUCAAUGGGCGCGAGCCUGAACCAGCCAAGUAGCGUGAAGGAUGACUGCCCUACGGGUUGUAAACUUCUUUUAUAAAGGAAUAAAGUGAGGCACGUGUGCCUUUUUGUAUGUACUUUAUGAAUAAGGAUCGGCUAACUCCGUGCCAGCAGCCGCGGUAAUACGGAGGAUCCGAGCGUUAUCCGGAUUUAUUGGGUUUAAAGGGUGCGUAGGCGGCCUUUUAAGUCAGCGGUGAAAGUCUGUGGCUCAACCAUAGAAUUGCCGUUGAAACUGGGGGGCUUGAGUAUGUUUGAGGCAGGCGGAAUGCGUGGUGUAGCGGUGAAAUGCUUAGAUAUUGCGCAGAACUCCGAUUGCGAAGGCAGCAUACCGGCGGCGAUCUGACGCUGAGGCACGAAAGCGUGGGUAUCGAACAGGAUUAGAUACCCGAGUAGUC